UACUCGAGUGGCGAACGGGUGAGUAACACGUGGGUGAUCUGCCCUGCACUUCGGGAUAAGCUUGGGAAACUGGGUCUAAUACCGGAUAGGGGCCAUCUUUAGUGUGGUGGUUGGAAAGUUUUUUCGGUGUAGGAUGAGCUCGCGGCCUAUCAGCUUGUUGGUGGGGUAAUGGCCUACCAAGGCGGCGACGGGUAGCCGGCCUGAGAGGGUGUACGGCCACAUUGAGACUGAGAUACGGCCCAG
This 243-nucleotide ribosomal RNA is filed under the name uncultured Actinomycetales bacterium. RNAcentral describes it as "partial 16S ribosomal RNA". It matches the Rfam family "Bacterial small subunit ribosomal RNA", at positions 88 to 334 of the family's 1533-position model. Lineage: Bacteria; Bacillati; Actinomycetota; Actinomycetes; Actinomycetales. The record is from RNAcentral.